RNAcentral lists this transfer RNA (65 nucleotides) under Pseudoplites inexpectatus. Its description in RNAcentral is "tRNA-Gly". Lineage: Eukaryota; Metazoa; Arthropoda; Insecta; Coleoptera; Cerambycidae. The record is from RNAcentral.
AUUUAUAUAAUAUAAAAAUUAUAUUUGACUUCCAAUCAAAAUAUCUAACUCAGUUAGUAUAAAUA